This 345-nucleotide ribosomal RNA is filed under the name uncultured bacterium. RNAcentral's name for it is "bacterial SSU rRNA". It matches the Rfam family "Bacterial small subunit ribosomal RNA", at positions 8 to 334 of the family's 1533-position model. The record is from RNAcentral.
AGGGUUUGAUUAUGGCUCAGGAUGAACGCUGGCGGCGUGCCUAACACAUGCAAGUCGAACGGAGUUACUUUAGUGAAGUUUUCGGAUGGAUCUGAUUUAACUUAGUGGCGGACGGGUGAGUAAUGCGUGAGCAACCUGCCCUUCAGAGGGGGACAACAGUUGGAAACGACUGCUAAUACCGCAUAAUGUAUUCGGAAGGCAUCUUCUGGAUACCAAAGGAGAAAUCCGCUGAUGGAUGGGCUCACGUCUGAUUAGCUAGUUGGUGAGGUAACGGCUCACCAAGGCUGCGAUCAGUAGCCGGACUGAGAGGUUGAACGGCCACAUUGGGACUGAGAUACGGCCCAG